Molecule: ribosomal RNA, 440 nt
Filed under: uncultured bacterium
Lineage: Bacteria
Description: partial 16S ribosomal RNA
Rfam family: Bacterial small subunit ribosomal RNA
Source: RNAcentral
CCUACGGGGGGCAGCAGUAGGGAAUAUUGCUCAAUGGGGGAAACCCUGAUGCAGCAACGCCGCGUGGAGGAUGAAGGUUUUAGGAUUGUAAACUCCUUUUGUUAGAGAAGAUUAUGACGGUAUCUAACGAAUAAGCACCGGCUAACUCCGUGCCAGCAGCCGCGGUAAUACGGAGGGUGCAAGCGUUACUCGGAAUCACUGGGCGUAAAGAGUGCGUAGGCGGGGUGAUAAGUCAGAUGUGAAAUCCUGUGGCUUAACUACAGAACUGCAUUUGAAACUGUUACUCUGGAGUGUGGGAGAGGUAGGUAGAAUUCUUGGUGUAGGGGUGAAAUCCGUAGAGAUCAGGAGGAAUACUCGUUGCGAAGGCGACCUGCUGGAACAUUACUGACGCUGAGGCGCGAAAGCGUGGGGAGCAAACAGGAUUAGAUACCCCUGUAGUC